CGCGGAACAACGGAAUGGAACGGAGCGGAACGGAGCUGGAGGCGGCGUGGAAACACGGAGUGCGGAUCCAUGGAGCGGGGAUCGGACGGGAACAAUCACAGAAUGACCCAGGUCUGUUCUGGCUCUCCAGUCUUAAGCAGAAGGAAGAACCAAAUUGCUUGUGGGCUCCGGCAGCUGUGAACCCUUCGAGCGGUCCCAGCAGAUGGUGCUGUGAUCCUUCCAGUGGGAUGAUUGUGUCCCUGGAGCUAUUCUGCAUCGUAUCUCAUACAGCAAGCAAGAGGAAAAUGGCCUUAAGUUGCACCAGGUUGGAUGUUAGAGAAACUCAGGCUGCACAGGGAGAAGUGGAGUUACCAUCCUUGGAGGUGUUCAAGGGCCAUGGAGAUGUGGCACUGAUGGACGUGGUUAUGGGCAUGGUGGGGGUGGGUUGGGGUUGAGAGAUUAAUCUCAUCUGUUAUCUACUGUCUGGCCUCAUACAGUGACUGCAGAUGUGUUUGAAGGAGGCUGCUCUGCUUGUAUUGAGUUUUUCCAGCAUUGAGGUCAUCUGCCUAGAAAUGACAUCAGCGUCCCCCCAGAUUGAUGCAGAACAAUUGUUCAUUCAUAGACACGGUUUCUCUGCAAACAGAGAGCAGAAAAACAAGGAGGCUCAGCAGAGCUCAGGGAGUUUUUUCCCUGGCCUAUGGCUUCUGUGUGCUGGAAAUCACAAGCUGCUUCAUCCCAGCAGGGGGUGACCGGUUACUGUUAUCUCAGUACUAAAUAACACAAAGGUGAAGAAUCCAUAAUAAUAUUUCUUCCACGUUUUCUGUGGUAGAUCUUUCAACUUGGGAUUAAGAUGACGGUGGAGCUGAGCUUCCAUAGCACAAACAGCCAUUUUCUGGAUGUUUUUUAUGACAAAAGGUGCCCCAUUUCUUUUGGGCUACAGUAACUUGAGUGCUUGUAUGAGAUACAGCUACCAAGAUACCAACCCAGUGUGAUUAUUAAUAGCUAACGCCUGACAUAUGUUAAAGAAAGGCUGUCAAAUCUGGCUGGCAACUACUCAGCUCUCAGUGGUGUAACUUGUCAAUGUGUGCUUUUUUCCACAGCGUAAAGCAGUUCUGGUGAGCUACAAAAUGCAUUUCGCAGGUUUGGUUGCAAGCAGAUGCCAGCCUCUUGCUGUUCAUCUGGAGAUACACACUGUGUGAACAGAGUAAAGAACUGAUUUCUAAAGGAAAUUAAAAACAAAAAACAACACAGCACACCAGGUUUGCUGUUUUCUGGAGGCAAUGCUGGAGGUGCAGUGAGUAGACGCUUUAUAAGACCCUGUGGUGUUUUGUUACUUAACAUUAUUUGGUUUCUUGAGAUCCCACAGUCCAAAGACUGCAGCUCAUCACUCAUCACAUACCAGUGAAAAGGCUGUUCUGACAUCAGUGGACCUGUCACAAGCAGAUACAGAUCUGUCCUAUUAAUGAGUUAGAAGGAAAAAACGCACGUAGUGCCAGAGACAAUUGCAAGGCUUUUAUUGUUUGCACAUUGUAUCAGACAUUUCUGCCAGGAAACAUUGCAUUUCCCACUAACUUCUGAGGGCUUGUUCCAAGAUGUUCUCAUCCACCACUUUUUGAGGAAGAGUCACUUUCAGUGCGGCGUUGUCUCUCAUUGCUUGGCAGAUCGUUUCAUACGCGUAGCCAUUACCCGACCAGCAGCGCCUGGCAACCUGUCAGACCAGAAAAUCAAUGAGUGCAAAACAAAAAAAUCACCCAUUUUUCUUGCCCCAUCCCAUUUUGCGUGAUAUCUGUGCAACACUGACACUCAAUUUCACCACAAUAAAUCCUUCAGCUCUCUGCCAGUUUCUAUUUAAAAGGGCAAAUUUCACUCUGUGCAUUUUCAAAAUACGAAAUUAAGAAGCCCAAGUCUGCCAGCAUAUGAGUGAAGCUCCACAGACAGGGAACUAUAAGCCCUUCUGCAGUUUGAUCUGUGUGCAAGAAGUUUGCUGGAUGAAGGAAAACACCAGGAACAAAAGGAAGGAGUACUUAGAAGGAAGCAAGUACUUCCUUGUAUUCAGUGCCUUAGAAUUCUCUGUUCUAUGAAUUGCGUAUCAGGGUCUGUAAGAUUCAGACACAAAAGUGGGCAAAAAAAAAAAUCCCCAGAUUCCAACUUAGCAAAAUAUUUAAGCAUUUGGUUAAUGUAAGGCUUAUAAGAAGUUCUCAGGAUCACAGCGAUAACAACUAGAAAUGACCUUUCAAGUCACCAAGCCGAUUUCCCUGCCACUCAGCUGUGACUAUUCCUGGCAGUGUAUUUUAAGGGUGCACUAUAGUUUCUUUUCAGCCUCGUAUAUAACAUGGGUAACGUUCCCCGACUGUACUUCCUAAACACGUAUGUGAAGGAGUGGGGCUUUUGCUUGCAAUAAAUCAGAGCAGCAAGA
Molecule: non-coding RNA, 2395 nt
Organism: Coturnix japonica (Japanese quail)
Lineage: Eukaryota; Metazoa; Chordata; Aves; Galliformes; Phasianidae
Source: RefSeq, a predicted model, not a curated record